This 117-nucleotide non-coding RNA is filed under the name Homo sapiens (human). Lineage: Eukaryota; Metazoa; Chordata; Mammalia; Primates; Hominidae. The record is from Rfam by way of RNAcentral.
GCCGGGUGUGGUGGCUCACACCUGUAAUCCCAGCACUUUAGGAGGCUGAGGGGGGUGGAUCACCUGAGGUCAGGAGUUCAAGACCAGCCUGGCCAACAUGGUGAAAUCUCGCCUCUA